This is a long non-coding RNA of Cyprinus carpio (common carp), 1323 nucleotides long. Lineage: Eukaryota; Metazoa; Chordata; Actinopteri; Cypriniformes; Cyprinidae. The record is from Ensembl.
GGAAAUGUGGGACAUUGAUUUAAAGGGCAGACACCUAUACAAUAUUCAAAAACAAGUUGGCAAAGGGAGAAUAUGUUUUAACAAUAGAAAAGAAGACAUAAUAAUUACUCGACUUCGAAUUGGACAUUAUGGUUUAAAUCAUUCAUUAUUCACAAUAGGGAAACAUCAGUCAGGCUUAUGUACAACAUGUAGUAAAGCAGAGAAUAUUGAGCAUGUACUUCUACAUUGUGCAUUAUAUUCCAAAGAAAGAGAAGAGUUAUUUAAGAAACUGAGAAACAUGGGAAUAAUUAAUUUUACUAUAUCAAAUCUUUUAAGUUGUGCCUCAGGGCAGACAAGUACUAUGAGAGAAAUUCUUAGGUAUCUGAAGAUAACAGGAUUGGAAAGCAGAAUAUAAAUCUCAUAUUAAUACUACCGGUUGGUUUAUUUAUGUAAUUAUUAUUAUUUAGUUAUAUAUUUAUUUAUAUUUAAUUAUUUAUAUUUAUUUAUUUAUUUUUAUUUUUUUUACUUCCUUCCCGUUAAUGCUUCAUACUCCAGUCCAGUUGGUGGCGGUAAUACACCAUAAGUUGGCUUGUCAACCGCCAUUAAAUCAUACAAGAAGAAGAAGAAGAAGAAGCGGGGAGGCGAGUUUUCAUGACGCCGGAUCGCAGAGUACAUACUCUUUUAGCGCUCGUUAAGUAGCUACUUAUUGAAAUAAAAUACCUACUCUUUGAGUGCCAUAUCGGACGCAGCCAAAGUGAAAAGUGUUGUUGUUUUUGUUGUUUUAUACAAGCUCCGGAGCUUCCGUGUAGAACGUAACAUCACUACUACAUAGUCAACAUGCCUUCAUUUACAAGAGCUUGUAAAGCACGUGGACUGAUCAUGGUGUUAAUCUUGGUGUUAAUCGUGGUUUUCAUGGUGCUGCAGAUGCUUGCAUUUGGAAGUUCUGCUCCUCUACAGAAGAGGUCCAGCAAUUGUCGGUGUUCUCUGUCUUGUGAUGGAGCUGAAGCUGAGCUGAAGAAACAUGAGAGAGUUGAAGUUCAUGUACAACGUCAAUCAGUUGAAAUUUAUACUAAAGAAGUUACAGUCUCCAGUUUAUUUGAUGAAAAACGACGCUGUUCUGUGGUCGUGCCGGAAUGUUCACAAGGGGACAAACGGUUUCAACUGAAAAUAUUUCCUACUGAUGCAAAAAAGCCACUCUAUGAAAAAAUGGAUUCAAAGCCUGAAAAGGAAAAUCAGAAUGUGCUUAAACAGCUUUUCUAUACAGUUAAAGUAUCAAGUAUGUUUUUUUUUUUUGUUUUUUUUAAUGCCAGUACUGAAAAAUACAACGUAUCAUAAGAGUAGUCC